UACGAAGGGGGCUAGCGUUGUUCGGAAUUACUGGGCGUAAAGCGCACGUAGGCGGACAUUUAAGUCAGGGUGAAAUCCAGAGCUCAACUCUGGAACUGCCUUUGAUACUGGGUGUCUGAGUAUGGAAGAGGUAAGUGGAAUUGCGAGUGUAGAGGUGAAAAUUCGUAGAUAUUCGCAGGAACACCAGUGGCGAAGGCGGCUUACUGGUCCAUUACUGACGCUGAGGUGCG
Molecule: ribosomal RNA, 230 nt
Filed under: uncultured bacterium
Lineage: Bacteria
Description: partial 16S ribosomal RNA
Rfam family: Bacterial small subunit ribosomal RNA
Source: RNAcentral